CGUAGGGUGCAAGCGUUAAUCGGAAUUACUGGGCGUAAAGCGUGCGCAGGCGGCUUUGCAAGACAGAUGUGAAAUCCCCGGGCUCAACCUGGGAACUGCAUUUGUGACUGCAUGGCUGGAGUGCGGCAGAGGGGGAUGGAAUUCCGCGUGUAGCAGUGAAAUGCGUAGAUAUGCGGAGGAACACCGAUGGCGAAGGCAAUCCCCUGGGCCUGCACUGACGCUCAUGCACGAAAGCGUGGGGAGCAAACAGGAUUAGAUACCCUGGUAGUCCACGCCCUAAACGAUGUCAACUGGUUGUUGGACGGCUUGCUGUUCAGUAACGAAGCUAACGCGUGAAGUUGACCGCCUGGGGAGUACGGCCGCAAGGUUA
Molecule: ribosomal RNA, 370 nt
Filed under: uncultured organism
Description: bacterial SSU rRNA
Rfam family: Bacterial small subunit ribosomal RNA
Source: RNAcentral